RNAcentral lists this ribosomal RNA (465 nucleotides) under uncultured bacterium. RNAcentral's name for it is "bacterial SSU rRNA". It matches the Rfam family "Bacterial small subunit ribosomal RNA", at positions 198 to 644 of the family's 1533-position model. The record is from RNAcentral.
GGAGGAAAGUAGGGGAUCGCAAGACCUUGCGCUAAAGGAGCGGCCGAUGUCUGAUUAGCUAGUUGGUGGGGUAAAGGCUUACCAAGGCAACGAUCAGUAGUUGGUCUGAGAGGACGGCCAACCACACUGGGACUGAGACACGGCCCAGACUCCUACGGGAGGCAGCAGUGGGGAAUUUUGGACAAUGGGCGAAAGCCUGAUCCAGCCAUGCCGCGUGAGUGAAGAAGGCCUUCGGGUUGUAAAGCUCUUUUAGUCGGAAAGAAAGAGUUGCAAUGAAUAAUUGUGAUUUAUGACGGUACCGACAGAAAAAGCACCGGCUAACUACGUGCCAGCAGCCGCGGUAAUACGUAGGGUGCGAGCGUUAAUCGGGAUUACUGGGCGUAAAGGGUGCGCAGGCGGUCUUGCAAGUCAGAUGUGAAAGCCCCGGGCUUAACCUGGGAAUUGCGUUUGAAACUACAAGGCUAG